This 60-nucleotide microRNA precursor is filed under the name Ciona intestinalis (vase tunicate). Its description in RNAcentral is "miRNA (ENSCING00000022503.1)". The record is from RNAcentral. Lineage: Eukaryota; Metazoa; Chordata; Ascidiacea; Phlebobranchia; Cionidae.
UCCAUCUUACCCCACAGUACUAAACAUAUAGAUAUAGUAGGGUGGGGGAAGAUGGGACAC